AUGAAAAAGAACAUUGGUGGUGAACUCAUAAAAUCGAAUGCGGCCCGGUUUGGAACGGUGUUCAUGUUCUUGGAGAGUUUCCAUUGUAAGAAAGAUGAGUUUAGGAAAUGGAUGGUGUCCGGUGAUUGGAAGGGAAGUACUUGGAACGGUGCUGCUGAUUAUGUGUUUGCUGAAGAGCUGCUAUCUAGUAAUAUGUGGUGGGCAGCUUUAGAGUGGGUUCUUGCUGUGCUAGAGCCACUCUAUAAAGCCCUUAGAUAUGCUGAUACACAAAAGAGAUGCACCCUAUCUGGAUUCAAGAAGAGUAUGAUGACAGCCAUACAAAAGUUGGAAAGUCAUCUUGGUGGUGGAUCACAAAUGUUUCAUAGAGUCAUGAGCAAGGUGUCCAAGAGGAUCGAUGCUAUGCAAGAAGGCACACUAUUGGUUGCAGUUGCUGUUCUUGAUCCUUACACACAUUAUCAGAUCAACAUGAGCAAGAUUAUGGACUAUGCUCUUGCACUAACAGAUGCCAUUGAGAAGAUCGCAGACCCUGAGACCGCUGUUUUGGCCAUUGAUGAAGUCAGCACUUAUAGGGAAUGUCAUGGGAGGUUUGGCUCAAGGCUGGCACGUUCCUCUGCAGAGAAAAUGUCACCAACUGAGUGGUGGUUCCAAUUUGGAGGGGAAGUUCCUAAUCUGCAGAAGUGUGCCUUGAGGAUUGUAUCACAAUGCGUUUCGUCAAGUGGCUGUGAGAGGAAUUGGAGCGCUUUUGCUUUGGUCCACACCAAGCAAAGAAACCGUCUUCUAUAUGGCAAGCUGCACAAGCUUGUAUCUGUGCGCUACAACUUGAAGAUACGUGCUGAAGAAGAAGAAGACCCGGUGAGAGAGAAUGAUAAGCAGAAGGAAGUUGAUGCAUGUGCAAUGAUGAUGGAUACAACCAUGUUUGAUGCAACAAAUCCUAUGAUGGAAUGGUUGAAUGAGGAUGAGGAGCAUGCAAUCUUGGAUGGAGUUGAUGCUGCUAGUGUCGUAUUUGAGAAAAUACGUUUGCUUAUCUCAAGUAGGAAAGUUUCUCGUCUUGCAAGGAAGGACAAUGGCAGGAAAAGAAAGAGGGUAGAGGAAGAAGAGGAUGACUACCAUGAUAGUGAGGAUGAUGAUGAAGAAAAUGAGGAGCUGGACCUGGAAAUUGAUGAUGAUGAUGAUAGCCAUGAUGAUGGUGCAAGUCAAUCUGAUGGAGGAGAUUCGCCAAUGCAAGUUGAAAAGGAUUUAACAAGCCAAGUUGGAAACAAUGUUGAGGUAACAAGUGAUGGUAGUUUGGUGAACCGUAGAUCUGAACGGGUUAGGCAAGCAAAGAAGGUCAAGGAGGUCACCAGCCUUUACAAUUGA
This 1356-nucleotide ribosomal RNA is filed under the name Triticum aestivum (bread wheat). RNAcentral's name for it is "partial small subunit ribosomal RNA". Lineage: Eukaryota; Viridiplantae; Streptophyta; Magnoliopsida; Poales; Poaceae. The record is from RNAcentral.